RNAcentral lists this long non-coding RNA (2364 nucleotides) under Musa acuminata (dwarf banana). RNAcentral describes it as "long non-coding RNA (MACU_LNC003009)". The stretch from base 637 to 727 matches the Rfam family "Small nucleolar RNA Z162". Lineage: Eukaryota; Viridiplantae; Streptophyta; Magnoliopsida; Zingiberales; Musaceae. The record is from RNAcentral.
CGGGAGAUGAAGCGAGCGCGAGCUAACCAGUGGCCAACGGCUGCGAUGGUUGCUUGGCCUGGACAGAUAGCUCGGUUCCAUGCUUCUCCUUUCCUUUUAGCGUGCCGCUCUGAUUGCCAUUACACAGAUCGUUUUUUUUUUCACUCUGUAAAAUCUCUGCUGCCAAAUCUCUAAUGUUUCGACGAUACUAUCGACAUGAUUAAUGAGUAUGAUAAACAGGUACUGGGGGCAUUUGUACACAUAUGCUCUCAGAAAGCAUCAUACUACAUGUUUUGAUACAUUAGUAGACUAUGCAAAUCAUAUCAAAGAGGACGGCAAAUUCUUUAUGUCCCAUAGAUAUGCUCGCCCUCUGUCUUUCUCAUUUUCCACUGCGGUUUUGUUUUCCUUUUUGUGCAUUAUGAAUUGCCAAAUGAUGUGAACGGGUUUCUAUUUCUCACGAUGGUCAUCUGAGACGUCGUUUUGGCGUCUUGAUUGAUGAUGGAAAAUCCUUCUGAUGGUCUCUAUACUUGUUUCUGAGAUUCUGUUACGUCUCCUCCCGAUCACUGGCAUGAUUGAGGAAGGAAACCUUUCUGUAGUUAUUGCAAUUCAUUCUUUUGUUGAUUUAAGUUUUGCUUAUUUUUAAUUUUUUCUCAAUAAAUAGGCACUAUGAGGAAAUGCAUUCUUUCAAUCUGCAAGAUCAACUGAUCAAUGAGCAGAAAAAUUUAGUCCUUUUCAUUCUGAGUGCCUGAUUUUUCUUUGAAUUGUUUGACUUCUCAUUAACUUAGUUAACAUGCUCAUUAGAUCAGCUGAAUGAGGGUAGAUAAAUAUGGGACGUCAAUUAAUAUGACAUGAGUAACAUAUUUAUUACUCUCAAUUGUGCUCUUUGGUUUAUUUUAUUUGUCAUUUCAAGAACCAAAGUCCUCUUUUCCUAGAUUUAAUUUAUCCGCUAAUGAUCUAUGGGAGUUCUGCUUAUGCCUCUGUUCAUGACAAGGAACUAUGUUUUUGGCUAUUAUGAUCCUGAUGGUGAGUACUAGGAUUAUAAGUUUAUGUGCAUACAUUAGUUAUGACGUUAUUAUUGGUGUUAGAUACUUUAAUCCUGACAUCCAAAAUCUAAUUUAAAUAAUUUCUAUAAAAUCAUCCUAAUGUUGUGUUUUAGUUGUACCUUUCAAACAAACACCCAUCAAAGUGAAAUCAAUGUUAUCAUUUAUAACUAUAAUGUGAACAAUAUGGAACAGUAGGACAAAAGUUUGAUCUUAGUUAACUAAAAUGUUUCUCUAUGGUGUUCACUUAUAGGAUUCUGUAUCUUUAUUAAUACCAUACAUUAACUGUCUAUUUGUUCUCCAGUUAAUUUCUCACACUACAGGUUCACUUUUGCUCCAGAUAAUUGCUUUGUUGCAGCUUAAUUGAAUCAUGUUGUAGGAAAACAUGUUUUCAUUCUGAUAGUCUCAUUUCCCAGGUUAGGAAAUUACCUCUCAUUCAUAAUUGCCUCCAAGAACAUCCAGACAACAUGAUGUAAAAUGGAUGUUCUUAAUUUGAUAAUGUUAUUUUGCGUGCUUAUACCUACGCAAGCUUUGAUUAUUCUUGUCGGUGGCUUGUUUUGUACAAUUGCUAUUUUAUAUUCAAGAAAUAUACUUUAUCUGUGAAAUACUUCUAGGCAGUUGGAUUUUAUGUUGCAUUUGCUCAGUACAAGUUUGAUAUACUAACAGUUUUAUGAUUCUGUUUUGGAAGAUCGUAUUGAUUCAGUAGACAAGCGUCUUUUGACUGCUUGUGCGGUGGAUGCCAGAACCGGUAUCAACAUGAUGUAGAACAUAUCGCCAUUUGAAUUUGAUUUAUGAGGAUAGAGCGGAGGAAAUUCUAUUUUACAAGUUCACUCUUUUGACAAAGAGAAGAAUUUUUAUUACCAAGUAUCACUUUUCAUGUUUGGAUGACAGCAUCACGCGACAAUCACAUAUCGGAAGAAACGGGAACUCAAAAUCUCAAUUACUCAGUCGACUGUCUCCUCCUCGAGUAGAAUAAGCAAAAAAGAUCAUUUUACAUUGAAUUAAGCCUUAACUAUAUAUCCAUGUCCUGAGGACCUCUUUUGAAUGUGUUUGCAGAUUGCGAAAUGAUGUGAAUGGGAUUCUGCUUCCGAUGAUGGUCAUCUGAAUUGCUGUAUCUUGAUAGUGUCUAGAUCUUUGUGAGUCUACCUUUUCUUCUUCUUUCUCAUGUCUGUUGUAAAUAGUAUUUGCAUCUAUCAUACUGCUUGAUUGUAAAAAAUAAAUAUUUUCCUAAUGAGUCUUGAUCAGGAGGAAAUGCUUUAUUCUUUUAUUCAGAGUUCAUGUCCUGAAUGAUUGUUAACAUGCAUUUUUUACUUAUAAUUACUGAAUACAAAAUGAUCUCUUUCAG